This 1014-nucleotide ribosomal RNA is filed under the name Triticum aestivum (bread wheat). RNAcentral describes it as "partial small subunit ribosomal RNA". Lineage: Eukaryota; Viridiplantae; Streptophyta; Magnoliopsida; Poales; Poaceae. The record is from RNAcentral.
AUGAAAGGAGGCAAGGCGAUGGGCCCUGAUUGUAUCCCCAUUGAGGUGUGGAAAGGUCUCGGGGACAUAGCGAUAGUGUGGCUAACCAAGCUUUUCAACCUCAUUUUUUGGGCAAACAAGAUGCCAGAAGAAUGGAGAUGGAGUAUAUUAGUACCAAUCUUCAAGAACAAGGGGGAUGUUCAGAGUUGUACUAAUUACCAUGGAAUUAAGCUGAUGAGCCAUACAAUGAAGCUAUGGGAGAUAGUCAUUGAGCACCGCUUAAGAAGAAUGACAAGCGUGACCAAAAAUCAGUUUGCUUUCAUGCCUGGGAGGUCGACCAUGGAAGCCAUUUUGUUGGUACGACAACUUAUGGAGAGAUAUAGGGAGCAAAAGAAGGACCUGCAUAUGAUGUUCAUUGACUUGGAGAAGGCCCAUGAUAAGAUACCGCAGAAUGUCAUGUGGUGGGCCUUGGAGAAACACAAAGUCCCAGCAAAGUACAUUACCUUCAUCAAGGACAUGUACGAUAAUGUUGUGACAAGUGUUCGAACAAGUGAUGUCGACACUGAUGACUUCCCGAUUAAGAUAGGACUGCAUCAGGGGUUAGCUUUGAGCCCUUAUCUUUUUGCAUUGGUGAUGGAUGAGGUCACAAGGGAUAUACAAGGAGAUAUCCCAUGGUGUAUGCUCUUUGCAGAUGAUGUGGUGUUAGUUGACGAUAGUCGGAUGAGAGUAAAUAGGAAGUUAGAGUUAUGGAGACAAACCUUGGAAUCGAAAGGGUUUAGGCUUAGUAGAACUAAAACCGAGUACAUGAUGUGCGGUUUCAGUAUUACUAUGUGUGAGGAGGAGAAGGUUAGCCUUGAUGGCCAGGUGGUACCUCAGAAGGACACCUUUCGAUAUUUGAGAUCAAUGUUGCGGGAUGAUGGGGGUAUUGAUGAAGAUGUGAACCAUCGAAUCAAAGCCGGAUGGAUGAAGUGGCGCCAAGCUUCUGGCAUUCUCUGUGACAAGAAAGUGCCACAAAAGCUAAAAGGCAAGUUCUAG